GACGAACGCUGGCGACAGGCUUAACACAUGCAAGUCGAACGAGAUCUUCGGAUCUAGUGGCAGACGGGUGAGGAACACGUGGGAACAUCCCUUUCAGUUCGGAAUAACGUUGGGAAACUAACGCUAAUACCGGAUACGUCCUUCGGGAGAAAGAUUUAUCGCUGAAAGAUUGGCCCGCGUCUGAUUAGCUAGUUGGUGAGGUAAUGGCUCACCAAGGCUACGAUCAGUAGCUGAUCUGAGAGGAUGAUCAGCCACAUUGGGACUGAGACACGGCCCAAACUCCUACGGGAGGCAGCAGUGGGGAAUAUUGGACAAUGGGCGCAAGCCUGAUCCAGCCAUGCCGCGUGAGUGAUGACGGCCUUCGGGUUGUAAAGCUCUUUUGUCCGGGAAGAUAAUGACUGUACCGGAAGAAUAAGCCCCGGCAAACUUCGUGCCAGCCGCCGCUGUAA
Molecule: ribosomal RNA, 449 nt
Filed under: uncultured bacterium
Lineage: Bacteria
Description: partial 16S ribosomal RNA
Rfam family: Bacterial small subunit ribosomal RNA
Source: RNAcentral